CAUGCAAGUCGAACGAGAAUCUACUGAAAGAGUCUCCGGACAAUGGAUGUAGAGGAAAGUGGCGGACGGGUGAGUAACGCGUGAGGAACCUGCCUUGAAGAGGGGGACAACAGUUGGAAACGACUGCUAAUACCGCAUGACGCAUAGAGGUCGCAUGAUCUUUAUGCCAAAGAUUUAUCGCUUCAAGAUGGCCUCGCGUCUGAUUAGCUAGUUGGCGGGGUAAUGGCCCACCAAGGCGACGAUCAGUAGCCGGACUGAGAGGUUGAACGGCCACAUUGGGACUGAGAUACGGCCCAGACUCCUACGGGAGGCAGCAGUGGGGAAUAUUGGGCAAUGGGCGCAAGCCUGACCCAGCAACGCCGCGUGAAGGAAGAAGGCUUUCGGGUUGUAAACUUCUUUUAAGAGGGAAGAGCAGAAGACGGUACCUCUAGAAUAAGCCACGGCUAACUACGUGCCAGCAGCCGCGGUAAUACGUAGGUGGCAAGCGUUGUCCGGAUUUACUGGGUGUAAAGGGCGUGCAGCCGGGUCUGCAAGUCAGAUGUGAAAUCCAUGGGCUCAACCCAUGAACUGCAUUUGAAACUGUAGAUCUUGAGUGUCGGAGGGGCAAUCGGAAUUCCUAGUGUAGCGGUGAAAUGCGUAGAUAUUAGGAGGAACACCAGUGGCGAAGGCGGAUUGCUGGACGAUAACUGACGGUGGGGCGCGAAAGUGUGGGGAGCAAACAGGAUUAGAUACCCUGGUAGUCCACACUGUAAACGAUGAAUACUAG
RNAcentral lists this ribosomal RNA (766 nucleotides) under uncultured bacterium. RNAcentral describes it as "bacterial SSU rRNA". It matches the Rfam family "Bacterial small subunit ribosomal RNA", at positions 54 to 819 of the family's 1533-position model. The record is from RNAcentral.